This is a long non-coding RNA of Xenopus tropicalis (tropical clawed frog), 288 nucleotides long. RefSeq lists it as uncharacterized. Lineage: Eukaryota; Metazoa; Chordata; Amphibia; Anura; Pipidae. The transcript has 3 exons. The record is from RefSeq and is a predicted model, not a curated record.
GAGAUUUUUGUGGGAGAAUUUAGAUAAAUCUGCCGGUAACUCGGCCCAGUAACAUGGUUCCCUGAUUCCCUUCCAUAUCGGCCUCUGUGCAUCCCAUGUUUGUAUCCCCGCGCCACUUUUCCCAGUGAAUCUGAUCUAUUUUCCUCUCUUAAUCAGGUUCCGUCGGUUGGUUUGGGCGACACCAUCUGCCCAGAGCCACCGACCCCUGGUACCAACAUCUGCCAGGAGGAGCCAGUGCAGAUCCCUGAGCCUGGCGAGGAGAUUGAGGAGCGCCCAGAAACACCCGGG